Molecule: long non-coding RNA, 458 nt
Organism: Prosopis cineraria
Lineage: Eukaryota; Viridiplantae; Streptophyta; Magnoliopsida; Fabales; Fabaceae
Exons: 2
Source: RefSeq, a predicted model, not a curated record
CAGCUUGAGCUUGAAUCAAAGACGCAUGAAAUCUGAGAAGAAAUCAGAUUCACCGAGUACUUAAGCAGAUAAAUCGUGUGGAUACAGAGUGGAAAACGCAAGACGCGUCCCUUCCAGCUCAAACAAAACCCUUCAACUAAGGUCACAUUGCUAUGCUCCCUCUUGUUCUCUUCUGUGUUUCCAAAAUGACCCUUUCUCCAAUUUUUCCCUUCCCAUUUCUCACUUUGAUCCUCUUCUCUCUCCCCCAUCUUCCUCCUUCUCCUUCCCCUGCUCCUCCUCCAAAUAGUCACGGCACUACCACUGAUCAAGGAGUAGCUUACCUUCUCAUGUUGGUUGCCCUGGCUAUCACCUACUUGUUUCACUAAUUGAUUUCUCUCUCCUUUGUAAAAUGUUAAUUGCCAACUAAAUUAUUCACUGUUCUUUCCUCAUCAGAUAUAUUCAAUCCUGCUUUGCUUUUA